Molecule: long non-coding RNA, 273 nt
Filed under: Brassica napus (rape)
Lineage: Eukaryota; Viridiplantae; Streptophyta; Magnoliopsida; Brassicales; Brassicaceae
Description: long non-coding RNA (BNAP_LNC024526)
Source: RNAcentral
CUUUGAAUCCUACUAUAUAAAAGGGACUAAAUUCAAGGCUUUUGGGACUAUCCACCUCAGCCAAAAUAUUCUCAUCAAUAAAGAAUUAGAAAUAGAUGUCAUUUAGAAGAUAAUUAACUAACAUAUGACUUUUAAUAUUUCUAGAAAUUUCAUAUUUGUAACUGUUAAUUUAUUAAUAGAAUCAUAUAUCUAUAUUGAAUUAUGUUCUAUUUUUAAUCAUUAGAUUUCAAGGGUAAAUAAAAUAUUAAUUUAUAAUAUAUAUAUAGUUUAUAA